Struthio camelus australis is the source of this 4678-nucleotide non-coding RNA. The record is from RefSeq and is a predicted model, not a curated record. Lineage: Eukaryota; Metazoa; Chordata; Aves; Struthioniformes; Struthionidae.
CUGACCUGUUAACUGUUUUGACGCCUCUGUGGACUGGAACUGCCACCUAAUAAUACUUACUUAUUACCUUUCUGCCAUUAGAAAGGGGGUUGACCCAGUAAGCAGAUUUCUAGCCUUAGAGCUCAUCCGCGUCUUCUCAGUUUGUACCGUAUCUCUCUAAUAGUGAACAGUAUUGACAGCUUAGGCAAACAGUAUAUGUAAUAAGCGCUGCAGCAAAGGAAUUCCUCAGCAGCAGGUUGCAUCUCUACAGUUGUGUUUCAUAACUGCUGGUGCUGCUAGCCCUUCAAGAAUUUGACUAAUCCCUUUUGAACCCAUCGAUAAAAAUAUCCGGGGGAAAUAAGCACACCUUUUUCUUUUGCCUGCCUUUAAAAAGUCCUCCCUUCCCACCAGCUUUCCUUUUGUUUAAAAUCUGCCGCCUAAUAAUUUCGCUGGGUUCCCCUAGUUCUGUAAUAAGAAGUAAUGCUGAGUAACUCACUCCCUCACUAUUCCCAAGUCACCUUUUCCACAUCUUUCAUUAUUUUAGGCUUCUCUUGCAUGCCAUUUCCCCUCACGCUGCUUUUCUAGGCUGAAGAACCCUAGUCUAGUCCGUCUCUGAACAUCCUCGUCCUUCUCUGCAUUUUUCUCUACGUCGUCUAGUUGUUCUGUCUCUUUCUGGUGAUAGAGCGACCAAUGACCUCUCUGAUUUGCAACAAGACAUACACAGGCUAUAAAAUCACGCAAUUCCUCCAGUUUCUCAGUUUGUCACAGUCCCCACGUUCAGAACCAAGCAUCACAAAGGAUGAGGAUCCUUUUUCUACAGCAUAAAGCAAGCCAUGAGAAAUAACCCGCGAGAGACGGUAGGCCCCCUGAGAAUGCAGUAACUGGCUUUAUGCUGCUAAUUAAGUUUACUCAAACUAAUGCAUCACCAAGAGUGGAUUCCGCUGCCUGAACGUGCAGAAAAUAAAACCUGUGAGGAACCUGGGUAGCUUAAAGACUAAAAAGCGACAGGAGUUCAAAAUCGUAAAACGCUUCCGUAACAAGUAAAAGUGGUGUUCAUGACAGAAGGGAGAAAGUAAUAGGACAACACGAACUUUUAACAGUUAGACUUUUGAGCGGCAAAGCAGGCUACAGAGUUUUCCGGUUCCCCUCUUCCCUACUCACAGGAAAUUUGUAUCUAUCUGUUGAUUACCCGAUAUAGCUGGUACGUACAUGCUUGCUUUCUGAUGCUCUUUCUGUUGCUUUCUGUUAAGCACCAUGGGAUGAUACUACUACUUAACGCUUUUACUCAGAGAGGCUAAUCUCAGUUCUCCUCCCCUUUUAUGCACUGUCCUAGUUUCAGAGAUGGAGAAAUUGAAGAGGGUUUUUUGGAAGUGGUUCAUGUAAAUGAGGCAGCUAUAAAUAGAUUUUGUGCUACCGUUAACAAACGAACGGCCAUACAAUUCCAGUACAGUUGUUAAAUGGUUCCUUCCCCUUGUCCACAGCAGGAAGUAGCUGAUUUUUGACAGCUUUUUUUGCACAAAGUCUGCAGGAAGGAUGCUUUGCAAUAUAAUAUUCUCACAGAACGACAGUUCAGAAUUUUUACGCAAAUACUAUAUAAAUGGAUAUGCUGAAAACGAUUAGCACUUUUAAACUCCCAGAAGCGCUUUUUCAGCGUCUAUGAUGUGCAGAUUGUUUUGAAAAUCUGGACGUACGUGAUUUGAUCCAAAACAUAACCGUUAGUCAGCAUCCGAACCAGGAUUAGGUGCCAGCAAUUCAAAAAUGAUUUCCUGCCUCUGCUUUAUAAAUAAAUUACGACUUUUGGAAAAAAAAAAAAAAAAGAUUUGCAAACAAAACAAUAAAAGGAAGAGCAAUCCUAUGUUGCACGCUUAAGAGUCUCUCUAGCUGCCCUGAGUCUGAUACGUCACCUAAGAAUCUGCUCCAAUACAUUUUCAUCUUCCUAAACAUUUUUUCUGGAUCUUUCUGCGCUGCGAGUCAUUUAAGACUAAUAGUUGUGUUUUAAAAAUGACUUACAGUUUUGGCACCAAAGCGGUGCACUUCACAGCUUUGCCAGACUGCAGCACCAUAAAGUUAAUUUACAGUUUUUACAACAUCGCUUUUGCGAUCUCAGUAGUUCAUAUUAAAAUUCUUUAUGCCACAUGGAAAGGAUGCCUACUCUGUGGAUUUAAAUGCAAACUUCAUUUACCCCAGUGCAAGUUGCAUACAGCCAAGAUACACACCCACAAAUAUGUUAUUGGGCCUUUUGUAAUAGAUGAAAAGGUACUGACACAAAUCCCUUAAAGACGGGGAGCUAUCUUUGUUGUUUUUUAUCGUCAUCAUCAUCUCUGGCAACAGCUGGUCUCCUCCUCUAUGGCCUGCGUUCAGUUUUUCAGAAUCUUUCAGAAUGCCGUUAAGGCAGAAGAAAAAGGGAGCUCUUGAGGGCUACAAGGUCCAUUUGUGUUUUUUUCCCCUUGAAAGACGGUACUGUAGGGGAGUUGAAACAUUCAGUAACUGUUCAUUUCCGGAUAAUAUUUCCCACUACGAAAAUGAUAGCUUAGGUAUACAGUGAAGCUAAUACAAGUAGGAAACAGGUGUGGAUUUCUGUUCGUGAUCUGACAGUCCUCUUUUCAGCCUGUUUCUGCCCACAAAGCACAAACUUACUUACUGUUAGGCGAAGACCUGCACUAUGUCUUGGAUGGCCAUUAACUGAGUGAAAAAGGGGAGUUAUUUCAAAGUCCGCCGCAGCAACCGUUAAUGCUCUGAAAAUGUGUCUUUCUAGCUUUUGUUUUACUACUUUGCAUUAUUUACACAGAACUAGAGGUGAUCACAGUAUUCCUUGAGAACCUUUUCCCUGUUAAACCUGCUGAAGAGCGUUUUCUAUGGGUUGUUCAUUUGUGGUGUAUUACUCCCCUGCCAUUCGUGCUGUAGGAGAGGCGGUCUGUUUCUCCGCAGCAGCACGUCCAAGGGCAUGUGCACCUUUUUCUUUGAUAAUGACUAUCUCGUUAAAAUUAGUUACAAGUUAAGGGAUCCCUGGACAACCACGGUAAGCUAAAACACCAGGUAUAUGACACACACAACGCUUGCAGCGACAAAUCAAACUCAAUACACUGGCAAAGGAUCACAAAUCAUUUCCUAAAAAGCAACAGUCUAGCUCUUCACGUUACCACUGCUCAUAUUAAGAGCAGCAAAAAUCGCCUUUCCAAUAUGAGCAAAAAUAAAUAAAUCGCUCUAAGAUGAAAGAAUCCCUUAGAGGAUCAUUUAACAGUAGCAGUAUCUGUAACGCAGGAAACAGAACUGAUGUUCUGCUCGUUGCCACAAGUAAAAGAAAGAGGCUGUCAGUAUCCAUGUUCACUGUUCUGUCCAAAAAGAAAAACAUAGGUCUAGGAAUUUGCCACUAUAUAUUUAUUUUUUUUUUUUGUAUUAGAGGUGAAUAGUACAGAUUCUAAUAGUGUUUCUUGUCUGGGGCUGGGGCGGGUAGGGGUGUAUUGUAAUUUUCAAGCUAUUGCAAAAGCCGCUUUUAAAUAAGCUGUUCAGUCUUAUUGAGUAACUGGUUUGUGCUUUACAAAGGAAUCCAGGUGAGCCAGGAUUCAAUGGGUAGCCUCCUUGCCUUGCUGUUAACAGGGUAAUUAGAGCUGAAGUCACUUGUGAAAAUUUAGUUUGGGGAUAGGGAGAUUAGAUGACCCAUCCCUAAUCUGUAAUGUAGUGUACUGUAACCUAAUGAGAUUAGACACUCACCUACUGUAGAACUGUGGUUUUGUCAGCAGCUACUUAGUUUGUCUGCCCCCUGGUGUGAUGAUCUUGGUUACGAAUGUCCUCCUACAGAUUUAAGAUGAUGUCAGCCCCUCUGUGUUAUCUGGUCUCUGUAUAUAUAUCCUACCGUCUAAUCCCAAAAGGAAACGUGUAGCACAAAACGAAGUUAAGGGUGCUGUGCACCAAGCCUGCUGUAAGUUUUUUUCUGAUACGGAGGGAUGGGGAAGACACGGAUGUAACAGCAAGCGUAUUUGCUACAGAGAACAAGGAGUGUUGCCUAACAAAUCCUCACUUAGAGCUGGUUGAAGCUUUGUUUUUGCAGUCAAAAAACUCAAGAUCUGCUAUUUCCUAUAUUGAAAGUUGGAACGUUACCUUUAUGGUGGCGAUAUCUUUUGGAAAAUUCCUUCAAUUUUCCCCCAGUACACUGAAGUUGGGGGUAGAGGGAAGGGAAUAUCCACAUUAAACUACAGCCUUCUGUAUUCUCCCCACUUUCCGACUAUAAAACAGAUACCAUUACUGAAACUCGUAAAGUUCCCUGAUGCAUCAGUAAGCUGUAUACAGAUGCCUCACUGGGGGAGGUGGCAUAAAUAAAUAUACUUCCGGCAUAUAUUUGGGAACAGCAAACUUUGACAUCCUAUCAUUUGACACAGCUGCCUCUUCCCAUUUCUUAAUCAAGUUCAUUCCCACUGUAACUCUUGCUGAUCUCAUUUUAUAUCUGGGUACAAAAUUGUUAAGUAUACACCUUUUGCUAAUUUGGAAUGAGGUGAAAUGGGGUGCUGGUCAGGCCACCGAGUCCUAAGUCAAUGUUAUGCAUGAGCAGACCUACCUGAAAACUUUCCAGUGUAUUUUCGACUUUCAAAGCUUUCAACCAGCCUUUACGCUGAAAAGGGGAGGGGGAACUUUAACCUGUAUCAAAUACUUUCCCAAAGAAAUGCUUUUUAAAAAAAAACAAGAAACAAACAAACAAAAAAAA